This is an RNA transcript of Brassica rapa (field mustard), 1321 nucleotides long. It is a transcript of the gene named spindle and kinetochore-associated protein 1 homolog, with no coding region annotated. Lineage: Eukaryota; Viridiplantae; Streptophyta; Magnoliopsida; Brassicales; Brassicaceae. The record is from RefSeq and is a predicted model, not a curated record.
CAUAAGCCCAUUAAACGUUCCCGCCUGAAAAGAAAUCUGGAAUUUCCAAUUUCUAAAACCUAAAGAGGAUUAAAAGAUAGUGUGUGCGGGUUGUUGGAGACUCAGAGAGAUUUCAAUCUCGAAGAAUGGAGGGAAAGCAAGCUGGAUCUUCUCUUGAUUCGUUGAUAUCUUCCUUCAACAAACGAGUCUCCGAGUUGCAGGAACUCGUCAUCGCCCGGAACAUGUAUCCGGCGAGCAGCGUCCCGGAUUUAACGGCGAUUGACACGGCGUUGAGCUCGAUGGAGCUUCAGGUUCAGUCCAUCAAGGAUCGGCUUCGUGAAGAGACCGAAGCUAUUCCAAAAGCCAAGAAACUUAUUGAGGCAUCGCUGAAACAACAAGGGAAGCUGCAGAAGAUGUCUGUUUAUGCACCGUCACACUUUCCUGACAAGACUACAAUGUUGAAUUCUGAUAUUAACAGAUGUUUGCUUCAAGAAAAUGUCAAGAAGCAUGAACAGAGUUCUGCUCUUAGGUCCUUGAGAUCUGAGGAGGAAGCAGCUGUUUUACCCAAGGAGAGGAAAGGUCGUGGGUCUCCUCCGCUUUGGUACAUAACUGUUGAUGAACUCAAUUCCCUCUCAUCAUACAUGAGAGGAAGGCUUACCCUGGAGAAAGUGAAUGCGGCUAUCAAUGACAUGGCUUCAUACGCUGAAGCAAAUGCUCAUCUUAUUUCAGCUCCAAAACAUAAGCUUGCUGAAAACCUCUGGGAGAAAGCACUGAAACUGCGAGACAUUGUAACAUCCGGAGCACUGAAGGGAAAACACUUUUUUCUUGAAACUGACAUGAAGGGGCCAAUGUUGAAGCUAGACAACACAGGCAAAGCAAUACUUACGGUUCUUAGACACCUUGGUCGUGUUAGUGAGACUCGCAUUGGUCAAAACCGCGUCAUCAUUCUUAUGAAGCCUAAUUAGAGAAGAAACCAGCUUAUCUCAAGUUUAUGUAGCCACAUCAAUUUAUUGAUUAUCUCCUGUAGAAGAGAACGAGUAAAUACAAAGAGGAAGUAAGAAAUGGAAUGGAGCAUAAACAUUCACAGAUACACGUUUAUUGAUAAUGUCUGUCACAAUCGUUUUGUCUUAUUUUUCAUAAAACCCAAUAAUUUGUUCGUGCAAAGACACGAAAAACAUUAUGCAUAAAGACAAAACCCUAAACAAUAAACCCUCUUGAAAGCAUGGAUACUCUUUUACACAUUUAUUACCAACUAACUCAUAUCAUAUCAUAUAAUUAUAUUACAAGAGAUGAUCAUAAAUUCUCUUGUACAGCCACGUUUUAGACUAUAUAGAGUUCACCA